Long non-coding RNA from Sphaeramia orbicularis (orbiculate cardinalfish), 373 nucleotides. RefSeq lists it as uncharacterized. The record is from RefSeq and is a predicted model, not a curated record. NCBI's taxonomy places the organism in Eukaryota, Metazoa, Chordata, Actinopteri, Kurtiformes, Apogonidae. The transcript is spliced from 3 exons.
GUGGUCUACAGGUGCGAUUGUAAGUUUACAUACCCUCGCAGAACUUGUGAUUCUUUGGCCAUUUUUCAAAGAAUAUAAAUGAUAAUACAAAAACUUUUCUUUCACUCGUGGCUAGUGGUUGGUGAAACCAUUUAUUAUCAAAUAAAUGUGUUUGCUCCUUUUAUAUCAUACUGACAACAGAAACUAUCGACAUGACCCUGAUCAACAGUUUACAUCCCCUAGUUCUUAAUACUCUGUUUUUGGCCCUUUUAUCAUCAAUGACAGCUUCAAGUAUUUUGUGGUAGUUGUGGAUGAGGCUCUUUAUUUUCUCAGAUGGUAAAGCUGCCCAUUCUUCUUGGCAAAAUCACCUUCAGUUCCUUUAAGAUUUGGGGUU